Molecule: ribosomal RNA, 494 nt
Filed under: uncultured bacterium
Lineage: Bacteria
Description: partial 16S ribosomal RNA
Rfam family: Bacterial small subunit ribosomal RNA
Source: RNAcentral
GACGAACGCUGGCGGCGCGCUUAACACAUGCAAGUCGAACGGAAAGGCCUGCUUUCCCUUGUGGAUUGCGGGUACUCGAGUGGCGAACGGGUGAGUAACACGUGAGUGAUCUGCCCCCAACUUGGGUAUAAGCCUGGGAAACUGGGUCUAAUUCCCGAUAGGACUGCAGGGUGGUGCCUGUGGUGGAAAACGAUUUUCUAGUGGUUGGGGAUGAGCUCGCGGCCUAUCAGCUUGUUGGUGGGGUAAUGGCCUACCAAGGCGGCGACGGGUAGCCGGCCUGGGAGGGUGGACGGCCACAUUGGGACUGAGAUACGGCCCAGACUCCUACGGGAGGCAGCAGUGGGGAAUAUUACACAAUGGGCGGAAGCCUGGUGCAGCGACGCCGCGUGGGGGAUGACGGCCUUCGGGUUGUAAACUCCUUUCGACCGCGAGGAAGCCACCUGGUUGGAAGGGUGGUGACGGUAGUGGUAGAAGAAGCACCGGCUAACUACGUG